GGCUUUUCGAAGCGUGCCUCGAGUCGG
RNAcentral lists this small RNA (27 nucleotides) under Bombyx mori (domestic silkworm). RNAcentral's name for it is "ovarian small RNA-17481". The record is from RNAcentral. Lineage: Eukaryota; Metazoa; Arthropoda; Insecta; Lepidoptera; Bombycidae.